AUUGAACGCUGGCGGCAUGCCUUACACAUGCAAGUCGAACGGUAGAGUAGCAAUACUCGAGAGUGGCGAACGGGUGAGUAACAUAUCGGAACGUGCCCAGUCGUGGGGGAUAACGUAGCGAAAGCUACGCUAAUACCGCAUACGAUCUAUGGAUGAAAGCGGGGGAUCGCAAGACCUCGCGCGAUUGGAGCGGCCGAUAUCAGAUUAGGUAGUUGGUGAGGUAAAGGCUCACCAAGCCGACGAUCUGUAGCUGGUCUGAGAGGACGACCAGCCACACUGGGACUGAGACACGGCCCAGACUCCUACGGGAGGCAGCAGUGGGGGAAUUUUUGGACAAUGGGCGGCAAGCCUGAUCCAGCAAUGCCGCGUGCAGGAUGAAGGCCU
RNAcentral lists this ribosomal RNA (384 nucleotides) under uncultured bacterium. Its description in RNAcentral is "bacterial SSU rRNA". It matches the Rfam family "Bacterial small subunit ribosomal RNA", at positions 30 to 417 of the family's 1533-position model. The record is from RNAcentral.